Molecule: transfer RNA, 72 nt
Filed under: bacterium
Lineage: Bacteria
Also listed under: 4 other names
Description: tRNA-Ala
Rfam family: tRNA
About the family: Transfer RNA (tRNA) molecules are approximately 80 nucleotides in length. Their secondary structure includes four short double-helical elements and three loops (D, anti-codon, and T loops).
Source: RNAcentral
GGGGACAUAGCUCAAAGGGAGAGCGCUUCCCUCGCACGGAAGAGGUUGCGGGUUCGACUCCCGCUGUCUCCA